This 240-nucleotide unclassified non-coding RNA is filed under the name soil metagenome. Its description in RNAcentral is "partial contains 5.8S ribosomal RNA, internal transcribed spacer 2, and large subunit ribosomal RNA". The record is from RNAcentral.
AAGACUAUAGACCUGCGGAGUACCUGCGGAAGGAUCAUCACCAAAAAAAACAAAAACAAACAAAACCCACAAGAAACCGCCCGCUUUUUCUCCCUAACGAGAGAAAAAGGGGGGCUGGGAAAACAAACCCCAAAAAAGAAAAAAAAUUUUUUAUACAAAUAAGACUCCUCUUAUUUCUUUAAAAGAAUUUUUUUUAUUUUUGAAACUCUAAUUACCUCUUAUUUAAUAACUUUUUGAUAC